Otolemur garnettii (small-eared galago) is the source of this 106-nucleotide small nuclear RNA. Lineage: Eukaryota; Metazoa; Chordata; Mammalia; Primates; Galagidae. The record is from Ensembl.
GUGCUUGCUUCGGCAGCACAUAUACUAAAAUUGGAAUGACACAGAGAAGAUUACAUGGCCCCUGCGCAAGGAUGACACGUGAAUUUGUGAAGCGUUCCAUAUUAAA